This 369-nucleotide ribosomal RNA is filed under the name uncultured bacterium. RNAcentral's name for it is "bacterial SSU rRNA". It matches the Rfam family "Bacterial small subunit ribosomal RNA", at positions 527 to 896 of the family's 1533-position model. The record is from RNAcentral.
GUAGGGUGCAAGCGUUAAUCGGAAUUACUGGGCGUAAAGCGUGCGCAGGCGGUUAUAUAAGACAGAUGUGAAGUCCCUGGGCUCAACCUGGGAACUACAUUUGUGACUGUAUAGCUAGAGUACGGCAGAGGGGGAUGGAAUUCCGCGUGUAGCAGUGAAAUGCGUAGAUAUGCGGAGGAACACCGAUGGUGAAGGCAAUCCCCUGGGCCUGUACUGACGCUCAUGCACGAAAGCGUGGGGAGCAAACAGGAUUAGAUACCCUGGUAGUCCACGCCCUAAACGAUGUCAACUGGUUGUUGGGUCUUCACUGACUCAGUAACGAAGCUAACGCGUGAAGUUGACCGCCUGGGGAGUACGGCCGCAAGGUUG